AGCGGUGGAUCAGAAGAAUCCUCUGCAGAUUCCUAGACCCUGCAAGCUUAGAGCUUCAGGAGAUCUGGAGGGGAGCCUCUGAAAGCUGGUCAGUGACAGCGCGUGGAGAAACACGACCGAGGGCUCCUGUCCCCAGUUCCUGGUGUCACCGCCAGGCCAGCUUCUGAACAUUCUGCUUGCCACAGUUGGGCCACACUUGGAUCUUCGAGGCUUCUGUUAAGUUCCCACUGCGUGGAAGGUUUUCUUCUGGAAAUGGGGAUAAUGAGGACCAUGUUGUCCAUCGGGGACAGCUAUUGUGAUGACAAGAGGCAAUUUCCGAGGAGUACUUGGGGGCAAAGACAUCUUCAAGAAUUCUUCCUUGGCCGUCGGCUCCGGACCCCACCAUCACCCCAAAGCCCCAUCAGUACUGUUCCUCCAGAAGUCACAAAGAAAUGGCUUCACGGGCAAGAAAUCUUCAUUUUGCUUGGCAGUUCAGGAGUUUCCUAGGCAUAAACGGUAAAGGAUAUCAUUUAUGAUAAAGGAUAAAGACAUAAAGGAUAAAGGAAAUAGAGGCAUCACUAGUUUGCAUUCUAUACUGAAAUUGGAGCCACAACCCUCACUAAACACUAGACACUAAACCCAACCCCUGCAAGGCGAGAGGGAACUGGGUAAUCACAGGAUGCCAAACUGUCACCCACGGAUCGCCCACUGCUGGUCACAGGGAAGAAGAGGCCGACACGCUUUGUGAGUAUAGACAGCUUUCUCCUACCAUGGUGUUCUUAGGGGCUUCAGGGGAAAAAUGAAGCCAGUGGAGGGCAGGGGGUCCUGGGCCAAUGGAGGGCAGGGUUUCCUGGGCCAAAGGCAUUUAGGAAACGUGUGAAUCCGACAAGGUUAAUUUUUUUCUGCAGCUCUUUUGAGAGCCUUUAUGAAGCUCAUGUGAACUGUGAUGGCGUAAAAGUUAAUCCAUGGAGCAGUUACCAAAUGUCCUUAACCAGAGAGCCCUUUGGAAGGAGCAUCUCGUGGGACUGGCGGUCUAGGGGCUCCAGGCCCCGUGCCCGGCCGCCAGGGUGUGCCGAUGGAAGAAACCAGACCUGCCAGUCAGGUGAACAAAUCCUGCCACUUUUUAUUUAGCUGCCUGCAUUUGGAAAGUUUUUAAAACUGCCUAGGCCUCGGUUUUUAAUCUAUACAUGGAGCCAAUAUCGCACCAGAUAUGCAGUUGAGUUUCUGUGCCUACCUGCGAGCCCCCGUCUGCUGCUGCUCCGUUUUCUAAUCAGUGAGGGGCUGUAAAUGUUGGAGAAAGGUGGGGGGGUGGAUCUCAACUUCUCUCAUACAAUGGUUUGGCUCUGAGUGUGGUGAAAACACCCUGUGGGGACAAGUUGCUCUGGGAAAAAGGACUGAGGCUGCCUCCCCUUUGACCUCACGCUUCCCUGUCGCUUCUUCCUUCCAGCUGGUCUCUUGGCUCAGCCAGAGGGCCCUUGAGGGCAAAGCAUCUCCUGGUGGAACCGAAACUACCCCUUCGAGCAUCAGGACGGAGCUGAGCCAGCAGGACCAGCCGGGAUCACUGGGAGACAAGCUGCCUUUGGCCUUCACUGCCCACCUGCACAGACCCACCUGUGCCCCACGUUCUCCUCGAAUACACCUGCAAGUAUUUUCGGCACUUUGGAGACAGUCCUUGAGACGCCAGUCCGCCGUCUUCCCGGAGCUGGCCUCCCUGAAAUCAGGCCCUUUCCUGUUUCUCCAUCACUCCUUUCCCUGCCUUUGGGUUUUGCCAGCAGCGAGUGGGCGGACCUGGUGUGUUUGGGGCCCUGGGCCCCGGCUACAGCCACAUCCACAGAAGGGGUAGCUCACGUGGCUGACUGCAGACAGUCCUUCUUCUCUGUGCAGCAGGACGGAGCGGCCACGGGAUGAGCUCUUGGGUGGUGACGGCAGCAGCCUGCAAAGCCCCCUGGUCUGCUCCGAAGCUGGCCGAGACUCUACCUUUUGUGUUGGUAGAAAAGGAAGCUGUGGGGAGGGCCUCCCAGUGACUAAACCCAGGAUAAUCUGAGUAUCAGAAAGAACAAAGCCUGACUGCAGGACCCUUAAGGGAAAACCAAAGGAUGUAAAGGAAGACCACAGAAUGGGAGAAAUUUGUUGCAAGUCAUAUAUCUGAUAAGGAA
Neofelis nebulosa (Clouded leopard) is the source of this 2135-nucleotide long non-coding RNA. RefSeq lists it as uncharacterized. The transcript has 3 exons. NCBI's taxonomy places the organism in Eukaryota, Metazoa, Chordata, Mammalia, Carnivora, Felidae. The record is from RefSeq and is a predicted model, not a curated record.